This 592-nucleotide ribosomal RNA is filed under the name uncultured Corynebacterium sp. Its description in RNAcentral is "bacterial SSU rRNA". It matches the Rfam family "Bacterial small subunit ribosomal RNA", at positions 28 to 666 of the family's 1533-position model. The record is from RNAcentral. Lineage: Bacteria; Bacillati; Actinomycetota; Actinomycetes; Mycobacteriales; Corynebacteriaceae.
AUUGAACGCUGGCGGCAUGCCUUACACAUGCAAGUCGAACGGCAGCACGGGAGCAAUCCUGGUGGCGAGUGGCGAACGGGUGAGUAAUACAUCGGAACGUGCCCAAUCGUGGGGGAUAACGCAGCGAAAGCUGUGCUAUUACCGCUUACGUCCUACGGAUGAAAGCAGGGGAUCGCAAGACCUUGCGCGAAUGGGGCGCCCGAUGGAGUUGGGUGGUGGGGAGGAAAAGGCUCACAAGCGUCGUUUUGUGCUGGCCUGAAGGGCCGACCAGUCACAUGGGACUGGGACAGGCCCAGAUCCUAGGGAGGACAGUGGGAUUUUGAACAUUGGGAAAGUUGGUUCAGCAUGCGGGUGCGGGUGGAGGCUUUGGGUUUAACUGUUUUGUCCGAAAGAAAGGCUUUUUUAUAAGAGGUUAUUACGGACCGUAAAUUAAGCACGGGCUAACACGGCCCGCGCGCGGAAAACGUAGGGGGCAGGGUUAUUUGAUUUAUUGGCCUAAACGGGCCGGCGUUUUUUUUAGAAGUUGUGCAUUUCCGGGUUCACCUGGAGCUGCAUUUGUAAUCCUGCUAGAGGUCGUUAGAGGGGGCGGAAA